GACGAACGCUGGCGGCGUGCUUAACACAUGCAAGUCGAACGGAAAGGCCCUGCUUUUGUGGGGUGCUCGAGUGGCGAACUGGUGAGUAACACGUGAGUAACCUGCCCUUGACUUUGGGAUAACCUCAGGAAACUGGGGCUAAUACCGGAUAGGAGCUCCUGCUGCAUGGUGGGGGCUGGAUAGUUUCGGCGGUUGGGGAUGGACUCGCGGCUUAUCAGCUUGAUGGUUGGGUAGUGGCUGAGCAAGGCUUUGACGGGUAGCAGGCCUGAGAGGGUAACCGGCCACAUUGGGACUGAGAUACGGCACAGACUACUACGGGAGGCAGCGGUGGAGAAUAUUGCACAAUGGGCGGGAGCCUGGUGCAGCAACGCAGCGUGCGGGAUGACAGCCUUCGGGUUGUAAACCGCUGUCGCCUGUGACGAAGCGUGAGUGACGGUAAUGGGUAAAGAAGCACCGGCUAACUACGUG
RNAcentral lists this ribosomal RNA (468 nucleotides) under uncultured bacterium. RNAcentral's name for it is "partial 16S ribosomal RNA". It matches the Rfam family "Bacterial small subunit ribosomal RNA", at positions 28 to 507 of the family's 1533-position model. The record is from RNAcentral.